ACCCAAAGAAAAACUUCGUAGUGAGUGUUAGAGCCGCCCGUACCCCAAACCGACACAGGUGAUCAGGUAGAGAAUACCAAGGCGAUCGAGUGAACCAUGGUUAAGGAACUCGGCAAAAUGCCCCCGUAACUUCGGGAGAAGGGGGGCCGGAUGCGUUACAUGGCUUGCCCAUGGAAGCGUUGAUGGCCGCAGAGACCAGGCCCAAGCGACUGUUUACUAAAAACACAGGUCCGUGCGAAUAAGUAAUUCGAUGUAUACGGACUGACGCCUGCCCGGUGCUGGAACGUUAAGGGGACAGGUUAGCUGGUUUAGGCCGGCGAAGCUUUGAACUUAAGCGCCAGUAAACGGCGGUGGUAACUAUAACCAUCCUAAGUUAGCGAAAUUCCUUGUCGGGUAAGUUCCGACCUGCACGAAUGGCGUAACGACUUGGGCGCUGUCUCAACCAUGGACUCGGCGAAAUUGCAUUACGAGUAAAGAUGCUCGUUACGCGCAGCAGGACGGAAAGACCCCGGGACCUUUACUACAACUUGGUAUUGGUGGUCGGUACAACUUGUGUAGGAUAGGUGGGAGACUGUGAAAUCCGGACGCCAGUUCGGGUGGAGUCAUCGUUGAAAUACCACUCUGGUUGUUCUGGCUGUCUAACUUCGGUCCAUUAUCUGGAUCAGGGACAGUGCCUGGUGGGUAGUUUGGCUGGCGGUCGCCUCCUAAAAGGUAACGGAGGCGCUCAAAGGUUCCCUCAGACUGGUUGGCAAUCAGGUGUCGAGUGUAAGUGCACAAGGGAGCUUGACUGUGAGACAGACAUGUCGAGCAGGGACGAAAGUCGGAACUAGUGAUCCGGCGGUGGCAUGUGGGAGCACCGUCGCUCAACGGAUAAAAGGUACCCCGGGGAUAACAGGCUGAUCUUCCCCAAGAGUCCAUAUCGACGGGAUGGUUUGGCACCUCGAUGUCGGCUCGUCGCAUCCUGGGGCUGGAGUAGGUCCCAAGGGUUGGGCUGUUCGCCCAUUGAAGCGGCACGCGAGCUGGGCUUAGAACGUCGUGAGACAGUUCGGUCCCUAUCCGCUGCGCGCGCAGGAGACUUGAGAAGGGCUGCCCCUAGUACGAGAGGACCGGGGUGGACGAACCUCUGGUGUGCCAGUUGUUCCGCCAGGAGCACGGCUGGUUGGCUACGUUCGGGAGUGAUAACCGCUGAAAGCAUCUAAGCGGGAAGCACGCUUCAAGAUGAGGUCUCCCACCGAGUUAAUCGGGUAAGGCCCCCAGUAGACCACUGGGUUGAUAGGCCAGAGGUGGAAGCGCCGUAAGGUGUGGAGCUGACUGGUACUAAUAGGCCGAGGGCUUGUCUCA
RNAcentral lists this ribosomal RNA (1341 nucleotides) under metagenome. Its description in RNAcentral is "bacterial LSU rRNA". It matches the Rfam family "Bacterial large subunit ribosomal RNA", at positions 1605 to 2925 of the family's 2925-position model. The record is from RNAcentral.